This 366-nucleotide long non-coding RNA is filed under the name Oncorhynchus kisutch (coho salmon). RNAcentral describes it as "lncRNA (ENSOKIG00005018752.1)". Lineage: Eukaryota; Metazoa; Chordata; Actinopteri; Salmoniformes; Salmonidae. The record is from RNAcentral.
CAACUCUGACAUAAGUUACCCAAAAGUCAGUGAUAGGGGGGACCAACUGUGAACAGGUUAUGCGUACAUGUGACUGUGUGUGUUAGAGAGACAGAGGGAGUCCACCAGUCAGCUCAGAGUGGUUCAUCUGUUUCUCCCUCCCUCUAUGCCUUUUGUUGCAGCCCCUCACUUUCCCCCUGCUAGCCUGGAUAGAGGGAGCUGACACUGUGCCUGCCUGCUCUGGACUGGAUAUGGCGUAGAGACACCCUGACACUACCCUGACUGGAUGUUCACCCUACGAGCUGAUGCAAUCACGGCGUCGGGACCUACCCUAGACAAAGACCAACGGGACAGCAUUUUUUCAAGAGUGGCAGGUAGGCCCCCUAA